This 512-nucleotide ribosomal RNA is filed under the name uncultured bacterium. Its description in RNAcentral is "partial 16S ribosomal RNA". It matches the Rfam family "Bacterial small subunit ribosomal RNA", at positions 28 to 523 of the family's 1533-position model. The record is from RNAcentral.
GACGAACGCUGGCGGCGUGCCUAAUACAUGCAAGUCGAGCGAAUCAACAGGAGCUUGCUCCUGUUGAUUAGCGGCGGACGGGUGAGUAACACGUGGGCAACCUGCCUGUAAGACUGGGAUAACACCGGGAAACCGGUGCUAAUACCGGAUAAUCCUUUCCCUCUCAUGAGAGAAAGUUGAAAGUCGGUUUCGGCUGACACUUACAGAUGGGCCCGCGGCGCAUUAGCUAGUUGGUGAGGUAACGGCUCACCAAGGCGACGAUGCGUAGCCGACCUGAGAGGGUGAUCGGCCACACUGGGACUGAGACACGGCCCAGACUCCUACGGGAGGCAGCAGUAGGGAAUCUUCCACAAUGGACGAAAGUCUGAUGGAGCAACGCCGCGUGAGCGAUGAAGGCCUUCGGGUCGUAAAGCUCUGUUGUUAGGGAAGAACAAGUACCGGAGUAACUGCCGGUACCUUGACGGUACCUAACCAGAAAGCCACGGCUAACUACGUGCCAGCCGCCGCGGUAA